GCUGAUUCGGUUGCCAUAGUUUCAGAGUCUGUAGAUUCUCUCUUUUAGUCGUUGAUCAACUCUGUGGCUCCUUUCUUUUCAGAAUUUAUUACAGAGGAUUUUGUUACAGUGUAUAUAAGUCUACCAUAUCAAAAAUAACAACAGUAGAUAUUAUUCUUCGGUUCAUAUUCUAGUCUUUUCGGGUAUCUCUUUGCUGUGCAACAGCGGGAUGAUUUUGUUUUGGUAUCUACUCUUACAAUCUUAAAAUUGAUGUUAAUUUUCUAAUUUUUUAUUUUGUUUCGUGAUGAAAUUAGGAAAGGAGCAAAAAUGGCGAUGAGAGAAGCGAAACUCGCUUACCUUGUGUUGCUGUUUAUGAGAUUAGCGAUGGUUUGAUAAAACCCCAUCCAGAAGAUCUAUCCGAGUGUCCAUCAAGAAUCCCAAGUAUCUCUAAUAACUGCCACUACCAGUAAAAGAAGCGGUCAACAAAACAUCCUCAGUGAAUCCCACGAUUCCACUAUCUGUUCUUCCACCAACCCCAGUAUCUUUUCGCUUUUAUCUAUUUGAAUUUCUAAUAAUUAUAUAGAAGCAUAAGAGUAGGAAAUGCAGUUGUAAUAUUUCUCUAUUUAAGCACUUCAAAAUCAUGAAUAAAGAUAUAGAUAUUUACAGAAUUCUUACUGGUCUUUUCUCACCAAAAGAGAGAGCUUUUUAUUGUAAUUUUGUGCAUCUGACUGGGACCAACCAUUUGGUAUCAGAGCACGGUUGUUAUGGCU
Molecule: long non-coding RNA, 749 nt
Filed under: Carica papaya (papaya)
Lineage: Eukaryota; Viridiplantae; Streptophyta; Magnoliopsida; Brassicales; Caricaceae
Description: long non-coding RNA (CPAP_LNC007207)
Source: RNAcentral